Molecule: long non-coding RNA, 501 nt
Filed under: Zostera marina
Lineage: Eukaryota; Viridiplantae; Streptophyta; Magnoliopsida; Alismatales; Zosteraceae
Description: long non-coding RNA (ZMAR_LNC005316)
Source: RNAcentral
UCCUCAAUCCGUAGCGAACUAUUCCACCACCACAAUUCGAGCGACUACGCCCUAUUCGACGCGAAUAGAACCCGUGUCCAAAACCAAAGACGCACACAGGUACCAAAACCCCCAUCACCACCAUUCACUAUUUGUAAAAGCAUGUAAAUCAGUUAGAUCUCGUUUUGAAUUUUUAAUGUUUUUUUAAAACUAAUAUAGGUAUGAUGAUGACGAUUGGUUAUCGACGAAUUUCCUAUUGACUUAUAACAAUCAACGAAUUAAUAACACUAGAUUAGUUCUCGAGAUAUGGAAAAAAUUUCGCCAAUAUCCAAGACAAGCAUACGGUUCAGAUUCAAAUUGCACUGUAUUCAUAAAACUUUUUUUUCACUUUUUUUUUUCCACAUAAGGGUGUCAAAUAAUAGAUGCUCUUUCGAGAUCAUUAACGAACGUUGUUCAAACCGAAGGUAUCACAGAAAAGUAGAUUCUGACGCACGAUGAUACAUUUAAUCCUCAUCACAUGAG